CGGGUGUUCGUGCAAAAUAUCCUCCACCCCGUGCAAAAUAUCCCCAACUCCGACCCUAACCCGUGCCUGCCGCCGCCGCCGCCCUCGUGCUCGAUCCACAGUCCUGCCGCGGCCUCGCGUCCACCCCCGUCGUCAAGCCGUCGUCUCGGAGCUCGCACUCCCUCGCCCCCGAGCUCCACCCCGACAUCCACCCGUCCUUGUACUCCCCCCCGAGCUCCAUUCCGAGAUCGAGCCGCCGUCCUCUCCAGAUCUAACUGCCGUCCUUGCCCCCUCCCCUGACACCCUGCCGUCUUCCUCCCCAAUCCCCGUCCCUGCUACUACAGGCCAUCUCCGGGCUCCCUUUGCUGCCGCACCUGCUGUUGCCGGGGCUCCAUCUCCGGGCUCCCGUUGCAGCCGGAUCUGCUGCUGCUAGGUCUCCAUCUCAAAUCGAGGACAUUCACCCCAUUCCAUUCCCCACUUCCCUGCCGCCGCCCUCGCGCUCCAUGCCCCCAUCCCUGCCGUCGCUCCACCACCUACGUCCCAGCCGCCCUGCCGUCGGCGUCCUCGCGCUCCAGCGUCACCCUCGUCCUUGCCGCCACCGUUCUCCCCCCCCCCCCCCCCCCCCCAAAUGGUGGGAUCCCCAAUUUGGUUUCUUUGCUGUUGUUCUUUCAGCCGUGAGUACCACCAUGUGUCAGUAGAUCGACUUGCUAGUUUGCUGCAACUUGAGAGUUGUACCGUUGGUAGCUGCGGGAGUGGUUUGGACAUGUUGAUCUGAAGCAAGACCUGGUUCCUGCUCACUUAAUCUGCCCCUUUUUGUUUGAUAAUAUGGCGUAGUAUUACGAAGAUUACUAGUUGGAUCCGUAUACCACUGAGCAGUAAAAAGAUCAUACCUUGCUUUGUUCUAUUUUUUAAUUCGUUGCUCAGAUCGAUGGUUAGAUGGACAUGGUGCUUUAGCUCCUUAAUUCUAAGAUUCCAAGUUUCUGAAUUCUAGGUCUGCACCGGCAUCAUGAGUUAAUCAGAUGCGUGUCACCAGCUAUAGUGAUGAUAUGGCCAUCAUUUUCCUGUAGAGAGAGCAGCUGAUAUUCAUAGUUUAAUUACUUUUUCCUCCAACUAAUGUGUUGUCUUAUUUUCUCACUUUGGCUGGUACAGUGAUACCCAUCUAAUUGUAGUCGAGGGGAUAUGUGAUAACUUGAAACUGAGCACAGAACGUUCUUUCUUGGUUUGCAUUUGGUGUAACCCCCCUUGAUUGUUCUUUUUCCUUUGUCUUAUAAUCCUCUGAUUUUCAAUCCAGUCAUAUUUUGAUGAUGGAUUGACCAUUAUUUAUCAGAAGUUUUCUACACAUUGCUGCUGGAUAGAGCAUCUAUUGCUACUACAAUUGGUGAUAUCUACACAGAUCUAUACAUAAAAGAUAAUAGGAAGUAAGCUUCUAUAGUGUGGCGUAGAGGUAUUGGCCAUACACCAUGAAUGAUAGAGGCUGUGCAGCUGAUAUUCAUAGUUUAAUUACUUUUUCCUCCAAAGAGAUACAUAUUUUUAGCUGUAAUGUGUUACCUUGCUGACAGUACAUCGAUAUAUUCUCCAAUUUGGUUCAACUAUGCCUAUACUCUUUAGUUUUAUGUUGAUGUUUACUCUUUCUUCUGGUCUGGAGUCUUGUAUUUUUUUCUGAGGUGUGUACUUCACUUUUAUGUUGUAUACACAAGUAUUUUCAGAUAAAUAAAAGCAAGAACAUUAGAGAGCAUGCAGGGCCCUGAAUUUGGAGAAUCUAGGCCUAUAUCUGUACAAUAUUGUUGAGAAAAUGCGGCAGUAAGGACGAGCCAACAAAGAGGAUCUCUGCAAUGAAAGAAUACAAGGAUUUCAUCAAUUGUCUAUUAGAAGACCUAUUAAAAAGUAACGAUUAUUUUUGUAAAUCAAGGAUGAAAAGAAGGCAACUGAUGUGCAAGGACAUGCAGGUACUCAGCCACCUAGUGCGCAUGGAUGUGAUGACUUCGUAGUCUUAUGUAGCAUUUGGUCGUUUGUAGUAUUUCGGACUAGCCAACUUGUAAUCAUGAAUCUUAUGUGCGUUCUGGACCAUUUGGCGCUUCAAGUGUUGUGGAGUAGAAAUCUUGUGGCCAUGGAUUUGACUUUUAAGUUUUUUGGACCAUUUCGUGUUUCAAUUCUUUUAGAAUAACACAUAGUGGUCCUUUUAUGUGACUUGUGUUUCUUGAUGGUGGUCAAGAUGGCCAAACUUUGCUUUGUCAAUGUUGUCUUGUUUUUUAACUUGUGAUCAAUAUAUAUGUAUGUUUGUGAACAUA
This is a long non-coding RNA of Triticum aestivum (bread wheat), 2267 nucleotides long. RefSeq lists it as uncharacterized. The transcript is spliced from 4 exons. The record is from RefSeq and is a predicted model, not a curated record. NCBI's taxonomy places the organism in Eukaryota, Viridiplantae, Streptophyta, Magnoliopsida, Poales, Poaceae.